Molecule: ribosomal RNA, 525 nt
Filed under: uncultured bacterium
Lineage: Bacteria
Description: bacterial SSU rRNA
Rfam family: Bacterial small subunit ribosomal RNA
Source: RNAcentral
ACAUCCAGAGAACUUGGCAGAGAUGCCUUGGUGCCUUCGGGACCUCUGAGACAGGUGCUGCAUGGCUGUCGUCAGCUCGUGUUGUGAAAUGUUGGGUUAAGUCCCGNGACGAGCGCAACCCCUAUCCUUUGUUGCCAGCGAUUCGGUCGGGAACUCAAAGGAGACUGCCGGUGAUAAACCGGAGGAAGGUGGGGAUGACGUCAAGUCAUCAUGGCCCUUACGAGUAGGGCUACACACGUGCUACAAUGGCGCAUACAAAGAGAAGCGACCUCGCGAGAGCAAGCGGACCUCAUAAAGUGCGUCGUAGUCCGGAUCGGAGUCUGCAACUCGACUCCGUGAAGUCGGAAUCGCUAGUAAUCGUAGAUCAGAAUGCUACGGUGAAUACGUUCCCGGGCCUUGUACACACCGCCCGUCACACCAUGGGAGUGGGUUGCAAAAGAAGUAGAUAGCUUAACCUUCGGGAGGGCGUUUACCACUUUGUGAUUCAUGACUGGGGUGAAGUCGUAACAAGGUAAGCGUAGCGAG